UGGGGAAUAUUGCACAAUGGGCGCAAGCCUGAUGCAGCCAUGCCGCGUGUAUGAAGAAGGCCUUCGGGUUGUAAAGUACUUUCAGCGGGGAGGAAGGGAGUAAAGUUAAUACCUUUGCUCAUUGACGUUACCCGCAGAAGAAGCACCGGCUAACUCCGUGCCAGCAGCCGCGGUAAUACGGAGGGUGCAAGCGGUAAGCGGAAUUACUGGGCGUAAAGCGCACGCAGGCGGUUUGUUAAGUCAGAUGUGAAAUCCCCGGGCUCAACCUGGGAACUGCAUCUGAUACUGGCAAGCUUGAGUCUCGUAGAGGGGGGUAGAAUUCCAGGUGUAGCGGUGAAAUGCGUAGAGAUCUGGAGGAAUACCGGUGGCGAAGGCGGCCCCCUGGACGAAGACUGACGCUCAGGUGCGAAAGCGUGGGGAGCAAACAGG
RNAcentral lists this ribosomal RNA (429 nucleotides) under Chloroflexota bacterium. Its description in RNAcentral is "Chloroflexi bacterium partial 16S ribosomal RNA". It matches the Rfam family "Bacterial small subunit ribosomal RNA", at positions 355 to 776 of the family's 1533-position model. The record is from RNAcentral. Lineage: Bacteria; Bacillati; Chloroflexota.